Molecule: ribosomal RNA, 201 nt
Filed under: uncultured bacterium
Lineage: Bacteria
Description: partial 16S ribosomal RNA
Rfam family: Bacterial small subunit ribosomal RNA
Source: RNAcentral
GUAGUCUGCAACUCGACUACAUGAAGCUGGAAUCGCUAGUAAUCGCGAAUCAGAAUGUCGCGGUGAAUACGUUCCCGGGUCUUGUACACACCGCCCGUCACACCAUGGGAGUCAGUAACGCCCGAAGCCGGUGACCUAACCGAAAGGGAGGAGCCGUCGAAGGUGGGACCGAUAACUGGGGUGAAGUCGUAACAAGGUAAC